This is a small nucleolar RNA of Capsicum annuum, 106 nucleotides long. NCBI's taxonomy places the organism in Eukaryota, Viridiplantae, Streptophyta, Magnoliopsida, Solanales, Solanaceae. The record is from RefSeq and is a predicted model, not a curated record.
AAUUGAUGGUUAGGACAAUGUAACAAUUUAUAUUUGAAACUUAACCAUGCUUCAUGCAAUGGUUCACCACUGUCUUGGUAUAAGUUUGUGAUCUCAUCGCUCAAUU